RNAcentral lists this ribosomal RNA (2331 nucleotides) under Clostridioides difficile. RNAcentral's name for it is "bacterial LSU rRNA". It matches the Rfam family "Bacterial large subunit ribosomal RNA", at positions 3 to 2356 of the family's 2925-position model. The record is from RNAcentral. Lineage: Bacteria; Bacillati; Bacillota; Clostridia; Peptostreptococcales; Peptostreptococcaceae.
UCAAGUUAUUAAGGGUGCAGGGCGGAUGCCUUGGCACUAGGAGCCGAUGAAGGACGUGAUAAGCUGCGAUAAGCUUCGGGGAGUUGCACGUAAACUUUGAUCCGAAGAUUUCCGAAUGAGGAAACUCACUUAGAGUAAUGUCUAAGUAUCAUUAAGUGAAUACAUAGCUUAAUGAGGGGAACUCAGGGAACUGAAACAUCUAAGUACCUGAAGGAAGAGAAAGAAAUUCGAUUCCGUAAGUAGCGGCGAGCGAACGCGGAUUAGCCCAAACCAAUAAAGUUUUCUUUAUUGGGGUUGCGGACAUAUCAUAACGAAGAGGUAUCGUAAUUGAAGAGGUUUGGAAAGACCCACCACAGAAGGUAAUAGUCCUGUAUGUUAAACGAGAAGACUUUAGAUAUGAUCCAGAGUACCACGGGACACGUGAAACCCUGUGGGAAGCAGGAGGGACCACCCUCCAAGGCUAAAUACUACCUAGUGACCGAUAGCGUAUAGUACCGUGAGGGAAAGGUGAAAAGAACCCCGGGAGGGGAGUGAAAUAGAACCUGAAACCCUGCACUUACAAGCUGUGGAAGCACAUUUCUUGUGUGACCGCGUACUUUUUGUAGAACGGGCCAACGAGUUACGUUAAGUAGCAAGGUUAAGCACUUAAGGUGCGGAGCCGUAGCGAAAGCGAGUUUUAACUGAGCGUUCAGUUACUUGACGUAGACCCGAAACCGGGCGACCUACCCAUGAGCAGGAUGAAGCGAAAGUAAAAUUUCGUGGAGGUCCGAACCCACGAGCGUUGAAAAGCUCGGGGAUGACUUGUGGGUAGCGGUGAAAUUCCAAUCGAGCCCGGAGAUAGCUGGUUCUCCCCGAAAUAGCUUUAGGGCUAGCCUCAAGGUGAGAGAUACGGAGGUAGAGCACUGAAUGUCCUAGGGGGUAUUGCACCUACCGAAGACUAUCAAACUCCGAAUGCCGUCAUCUUAUACUUGGGAGUCAGACUGUGGGUGAUAAGAUUCAUAGUCGAAAGGGCAACAGCCCAGAUCGUCAGCUAAGGUCCCUAAAUGUAAGUUAAGUGGUAAAGGAUGUGGGAUUGCACAGACAACCAGGAUGUUGGCUUAGAAGCAGCCACUCAUUCAAAGAGUGCGUAAUAGCUCACUGGUCGAGUGAUCCUGCGCCGAAGAUUUCCGGGGCUAAAACUUACUACCGAAGCUACGGCAUCAGUAAUGAUGGGUAGGGGAGCUUCCCAUACGGGUUGAAGCAUGACCGUAAGGACAUGUGGACAGUAUGGGAGUGAGAAUGUUGGCAUGAGUAGCGAGAUGUGGGUGAGAAUCCCACAGGCCGUAAACCCAAGGUUUCCAGGGGAAGGUUCGUCCGCCCUGGGUUAGUCGGGACCUAAGCUGAGGCCGAAAGGCGUAGGUGAUGGACAACAGGUUGAUAUUCCUGUACUACCGAUAACCGUUUGAGAGAAGGGAUGACACAGUAGGAUAAGCUAAGCACACUGUUGGUUAUGUGUGCCCAAGCAUUGAGGCAGUCAAAGUAGGCAAAUCCGCUUUGAUAAUGCUGGGAUGUGAUGGGGAGCGAAAUUUAGUAGCGAAGUAGCUGAUUUCACACUGUCAAGAAAAGUCUCUAUCGAGGUUAAAGGUACCCGUACCGCAAACCGACACAGGUGGGUGAGGAGAGUAUCCUAAGGCCAGCGAGAGAACUGUUGUUAAGGAACUCGGCAAAAUGACCCCGUAACUUAGGGAUAAGGGGUGCCACCAUCAGGUGGCCGCAGAGAAUAGGCCCAAGCGACUGUUUACCAAAAACAUAGGUUUCUGCUAAGUCGCAAGACGAUGUAUAGGAGCUGACGCCUGCCCGGUGCUGGAAGGUUAAGGGGAUCUGUUAGAGCAAUCGAAGCAGUGAACUUAAGCCCCAGUAAACGGCGGCCGUAACUAUAACGGUCCUAAGGUAGCGAAAUUCCUUGUCGGGUAAGUUCCGACCCGCACGAAAGGCGUAACGAUUUGGGCACUGUCUCAACAACAGACUCGGUGAAAUUGUAAUUCCGGUGAAGAUGCCGGAUACCUGCGACAGGACGGAAAGACCCCAUGGAGCUUUACUGUAGCUUGACAUUGGGUCUUGGUACUACAUGUACAGGAUAGGUGGGAGGCUUUGAAACCAGGACGCCAGUUUUGGCGGAGCCAUCCUUGGGAUACCACCCUUGUAGUACUGGGACUCUAACCAUAGGCCAUGAAUCUGGUCUUGGGACACUGUCAGGUGGGCAGUUUGACUGGGGCGGUCGCCUCCCAAAAGGUAACGGAGGCGCUCAAAGGUUCUCUCAGUACGGUCGGAAAUCGUACGUAGAGUGUAAAG